Long non-coding RNA from Arvicola amphibius (Eurasian water vole), 4546 nucleotides. RefSeq lists it as uncharacterized. NCBI's taxonomy places the organism in Eukaryota, Metazoa, Chordata, Mammalia, Rodentia, Cricetidae. The transcript is spliced from 3 exons. The record is from RefSeq and is a predicted model, not a curated record.
CUCCAAGCGACUCCCUCAGCAGCGGUCGAAGGGACCACCUCGGCCGGGAGCAGGCCGCGCCCCCUACGCGUGACCAGCGACCCCGGGCCACACCAUACACGGCGGGGGACGGCGGCAGUGGUGGAGGAGCCACCAGCCCGGAGCGCAGAACGUGCACCAGGCCAGAGAGGGGGCUCCGCCCCCCGCACUCCAGACAGUGGUUUCGUCCAGAUUAGCCGCGCCCCGGGGCGGGGCUUCCAGCUUUGGCCAGGACUUCACCCUCUCGGAGCUCUAGGGCUGGGGUUGGGCUCUGGGUGCUGAGAGACGCCUGCGGGUGGGACCCCACUGACUCGGGAGAGGUCGGCUGCGAGGCGUCGUUCCUAAACCCACCAAACGGACCCGGAGUCUCAGAGCAUGACGUCAGACCCAGUUUGCCCUCCGGGGAAGGCUGGCCCCAACUCAUGGGACUUGAGCUUAGCCGAGCUGACCUAAACCUAGGACAGGUAUCUUCAUAGUCUACUUCUGAAAAGCAGCUCGACAGACGUAAAAUACUUGCUUGGCUUUCGUACCAUCCUUGGACAAGGCUCGUCCUUUAAUAGGAAAGGACCAUCCAAAUGGUAUGAGCUUUGGGCCUCACAAAACGAAGACCUACCUCAGACAUUUUGGGGAAGAGAACUUGACCUUUCUCUCUGAGUUCUUCCGUUCGUGUCUCCCUAAGGGAGGAGUGACUUACCUAAUUAGUAGAGAGCUGUGAGAGCCAUGGUACAUGCAUGACCUGAUCUGUCCUUGGCUCUCUCAUCGCAUCUGCCUUCCACAGCAAUAUGCUCACUGCAUACGGCCCUAGAUGCCAAGAUCCGACGGAGAAACAGUUGCUGCCUUUGCCCAAUGCUCCCCAGAUGGGCAGCUCUCCAAAGAGUCUUACAAAUGCCGGUGUAGCAUGACUGAGUGCAAAUUCCAGAGAAAGCACCGUGGAAGGAGAGCUUCUGAAGACAUGCAGAGAAAGUAGGCAAGGAAGGGAGGCUUCUAUGAGUCCUGGCCACCAGGCUGCCAGGGAUGAGGCACUGUCCCAGCUCCAGCUGCACCAUGAACCUGAUCAUACCCCCUUAUCUUAGAGAUCGGCUGUGUUCCCAGGAUGCAACUUGUGUUUGCCAAGUAACUGGAUGUUGUGGAAUAUUAUUUUAAGAUGUGUGACAUUUGUUUAUGCGGUGGAACAUUUGUUUUAAUGAUGCAAUGAUGUGUUGCCUUCUUUUAUGUUACAUUUGUUUAACUCUGUGGACCUAUUAAUUUGUCUGUCUAAAACAUCCAACGGUCUAAAAGAGCUAAACAGCCAAGGAGAGAAGGGACCCAGCCACACAGCCAGUCAUGGACUUAGAGUGAAAGUAACAUAUACAGAAGAAAAGGAAAAAGCCCAGAGGCUUAAUUUAAAUUAAGAAAAGCUGGCAAGAAACAAUCCGGGCUAAGGCUGAGCAUUCAAUGAUUUGGGGAGCUGGGUGGCGGGCAUCCAAAAGAGACAAAGAGUAGAACAACCCACAACACCUGGAUGUACAGACUUGCCCCAGAGGAAAGGUGGAAAUCUCAUUUUGGCAUGAGGUCGAAGCUGUUGUGCCUGUUUCACUAUUAAUCAGCAACAAGACUGAUCUUUAAUCCUAUCGAACAUCUGUAUUAUUUCCCAGAAAAAUAAGAAGUAUGAUGGUCACAUCUAAUGAGAAAUGAAACCAAUUACAAUUGUGAAACUAUUGUAUAAAAAGGUAUAAUUGACCAUAUGUACAAGCACGACAGUAGGUGCUAUCAAAGAUACACACACCAGUAACACAUGCCCAAUCUCAAGCUUACAAUUUAAACAAAAUGCAUACUCAACUCCCGCGCGAGUAUUUAAUGCAUGUCCAGUUAGUGAUUUUGGUUAGAUCGGGCAUAGGAACUGGCAAUUGGAGGUAGGGUCUUUAGGAGGUGAUUUCACGUAGGCUGUUCUUCAUACUAGGACUGAAGCCUGUAUAAAAAACGCUCUUCGUGCUGCCUUUGGCCUCUCCUGCCCUUUGACUUCGACCAUAUGAGGAUCCAGUGAGGGGGCUCUUAUCAGAGGCUCGAGCUCUGAUAAUAGACUUUCCAGCUCUAAAUGGGAGGCGAUUGUAAAGUUUAUAUGUGUGCGUGUGUGCAGUUUAUACACACACACACAUACACACACACGCGUGCGCACGUGCACACACACACUUAUAUGCAUACAUAUAUAGUGGGGGGGCUUGGAAUAAAGCUUUGGCUGGCCUAGAACUUGCUUUAUACACCAGGCUUGCCUUGAACUUGUGGCAGUUUGCCCAGAUCUGCCUGUCUAGUGCUGGGCUUACAGAUCUAUGCUGUAAUGCCGAGCUACAAAACCAGUCCAGUGCAGUUGUUGUUGUUGUUGUUGUUGUUGCAGCACAAAUAAACUAUGACAUGACACACAGUCACUUUUCCAGUUUUCUUAGUGAACAGCAAUUCAAUUUGCCUACUUUGCUUAGGACAAAAAUCUUUUGGUCACCUCUGACUUUUCUCCUUCUUGAUACACACUCACUACAUUAGCAAAUCUUAUUGGAUUUACCUUUAAUCUGUAUGGUAUCCUAAAUCUAACAUUGCUGUACACUGCUGUUGCCCUAGUCCAAGUUACCCAUUACCCAUGUAAUCUCUAUAAAACCAAAUCUUUCUUUCCUCAAAACCACGCAGUUACUUACCUGUGAUUCAGAAUAAAAACCAGCACCCUUACCGUGGGCUAUGAAACCAUUCUGGGCUGGACUCGACCCUGCUACCUCUCUGAUCUUCUCAUCCUACCAGUCUGUCCCUUUUUCAUGGCACUCAGCUUUCUCAGCCUUCUCUCUGAGCUCCAGGCACGCUAGAGAUGGCCCAUACGAGGAACUUGACCCUUACCGUCCAGUCUUGUAGCAUGUUCCGUCUUAGAUAUACAUGUGGCCCACUCAGAUGCUCGAAUAACUCCUCUGAAUGGAUCAUUUCACUCCGAGUUAUAUAGAAGAUUGCCCUGUAGAGAAAUCCCUAGGUUCCCAGCACUGGUGAUCCCAACUCUAAUUGUUAUCCCCACCUACUAUUUUUCUCUUCAAUUGACCGAUGUCUAUUUCCCUCUAGCCACAAUGUAAGUUCCAUGAGGUCAUAGGCUUUUUUAAAAAAAUUGUUAUAUUCUCAGUACUUAGUACAAUAUUUGGCAUGGCUGAGAUGAUGUCUCCAUAACAUUUGCCUAUAGGCAAGCCUGUGGUAUGUUCUCUGUGUGAUGGCUGAUGGGGGAGGGUCCUCCAGUCAAAAAGCAAUUCAUGUAAAAACAUGGCUCUGUCCUAUCUCAGUGUUCUGAAUGCUCACCAGGUUCCUCUAAUGCAAGGCCUGUCUUCUCCGGUCACUGUGCGUGUAAUUUGUGCUCAUCCCUCAGGGUUCAUCUUACCAUGUGUCCUCAUGGUCCCUGACCUAUAUCUCUCUACCAAAUUUCUUCCUCCUGUUAAUCAGUUCUCAGAUAUCCUGUGCUUUUCCUUACUAGUACCUUGCACACUCUAGUUAUUGAACAAUCACUUAAUUAUUUGUCUGAGGGUUGCAUCAUAUCUGCAACACCAAGCACAAUGCCUGGCAUAGUGAAGAUGCAUAAAUGCAUGAUUAAUUGACUGACUACUUCAGGGCUGAAGAAAUGAACCUGUCUAAACAACAAGGAUUCACGGGCAAAUGCAGUCCAACUCUAACCUGGAUUCUAUACACCUGUCCUUCUCUCUGUCCAUCCACACUUGUUCAUUUUUUUUUACUUCCUGUGUCUUAUUUUCUCCAUAUAGGAGCUAUGACAUAUCAUAUCAUAUAAGGACAUGUUAAGGACACUGUUCAACCCAUAUUAGAAAACUUUGUGUUACAAAUUUUAAAAAUUUGUGUUACACCUUGGGAGAACUAAAAGUUAUGUUUACUUCCUUGGGCAUCUCUGAAUAUAACUGGUAAGUUUUUUCUCUGUUCUCUAGACUCUAACAUACACUUUUAGGGGUUUGUUUUUCCGUCUCUAAGAGACACCCAAACACAACCAAAUAAACCACAAUGUACAUGUUACUUGAUCAGAAUCAUGUCAGGAAAGACAAAACCUAUCCUUAGACACUGAUGUCAAGGCACAAAGACCUCGAGGGAGCAAACAGAGAAAUUAUAAAAUACUCUAUAGUUAACCAAUGUGAUUCCUUCUCUUUCCAAAACAGAUAAAAACAGCUACCUUUUUUGUUCUUGCUAAUGCUAUGUUAAUUUGGUUUUUAAUUCUCCUCAGUCUGCUGGCUAAAAUGCUAUUUGAUUACAGAUGUGGCAGGCCGUUGGAAUCUGCUCUCAUAGGUCAGUUGUGUUCAGUGGCAUCACAGGGGCACCCUGAGUACUCUGUGAUAUUUAUCGUGCAGGAAUGAGCAAACACUACACGCCAGAGCUUUCCUCCUGGGACAGUCAGCUGUUAAACAUUACCAGUCCACUGCUGUUGGUAAAUCUGAGUAUUUUCUCAUGUACUUAUAAGUUUUCAUGUUUUCUUUAAAAUACUUGUUUUUGUCUUUUGUCUGUUUAUUAAAAAAUGAACUUUCUGAAAACUUCA